UUACUCGGUAAGGUAGUCACAGUCUCCAGAGAGUUGUCCCCUCCUGAACUGUAGGGAGUGAACACAUCAGGGAGAAAGAGGGAAUCAAUACUUAGGCUUUUGUGAAAGAGCACCCCAUCUUUCUUAGUGCCCAAACCAUCGGCCCCUAUAAGAUGUGCCAGACCCAUUGGUCUCUUUGUGUUGGAGAAACUCUUGAGAAAGUCUGCAUUUCCCAAAGUGUUGGUUCCCCCACAACAAACAGGAUUUGAAGGCAAAUAAGAGUUGUUUCUUUUUUUCCACCAAAUCAGGAAGGAAAGCACUUAGCUGAGCAUGUACUAUGUGCCUGCACGCCCUAGAUUCUCUACGUUAGAUACCUAACACUUCCCAAAAAACAAGCUUCUGAUACAGAUGCAACUAUUCCCAUUUUACAGAAAAGGAGGUUGAGGUGCAUAGAGGUUAAUGAACUUUUGAAAGGUAACUAAAAACCAGCUUGAGCUGCAAGCUUUUCGAAAAUGGAUUAACUCUUCUCUGCCCAGUGGGGAGGCCAAUUCCACUGGGAGUUUCACCAGCGGGUCUCUUCCAAUGCCUUCCAAUGCCUAAUCUGAUUUUAUCUACUUGGAUGUAGUUUCAUGCUGUUGAAUCUAACUUCAAGACCCAUUCAAGAUUACAUUUCCUUUCAUGCAUUUAAAUUGAAUACAUGUGGGAGGCCCGGAGAGAAGGACUUCUAUUUGAACAAAGUCCAAUGUUCAAAUGUACUGUAUUUACUGUUUUGUUUUUUUCUCCCUGCACUUCCUUCCUCAAUGCCAGCAUAUUAUUCCAGGCCAAUGGAUUUUGGGAACACUGUGUUUGCAUCCAGCCCACCAGCACGGACUUCCAAAGGACAGGCCAUGAAUCAAAGUCAUGGCUCUUCUUCAUUCAAGGAAUUGAUUGGGAUGAAGACAACUCUUUCAGAUGAGGGCAGUUGAGUCUGGGGCUCGGUAGCCCCAGGUGAUGGAGAGAAAGAAGCCCGGUAAGCUCUGCCAUCACCUGACUCAGGUGCAUCUCUCUCCCAUCUCCCAUCUGAUGUCGAACCUAACUUGGCCUUUGGUUGGACCUUUGUUCAAGCUUCUGAUUCUACUCCAACUGUGCCUGAAGCUAACUGCUUCAGCUACUACCUGAUCUUCCUUUCUUGCAACUAAAAGUGUUUACUCAGAAUACUUUGUACUUGAAAGGGGAUUAGAAAUCCAUAUACCUCCUCCAGUCACUGUGUUCUCACUCUGCCUCCUUUUCUUCUUCACUAAACAUAUAAACACGAACAUGGAGAUAAACCUACACGCACACAUCAAGUACUCCCUACUGUCAUUUGUCUAAAAGUAUCUUUGUUCUAAAACAAGUCCCGCAGCUGAUCAAGACUAGCAGGCUCUAGAAAUCUCUGAGUGAACACUUCUAGGAGAAAGAGAAUUACACAAAUCAAGAUGUACAAACAAAAAUAUCUAAGCCCUCAUUUCAUUGAGAACCAUGUGACACAUGAAAGAAAAGAGACCCAUACGAAACAGCUAGUUAGUGUGAGAGCCUUCCGAUUAAUGCAAUUUAUAUUAAACCAUGAGUUCAAAGGCUGGGUUUUGUUCAUCUGUUGUCACCCACAGUGCACAGAGAAUUACAGAGUAGACACUUAAUGACAUUUGUGGAAGGAGUUUCAGUGAGAUGGAACACCAAAUUAAUUUUUCAAAAAAGCUUUUUUUUUGUAAGCAAAUUUCACUUUGGUCCUUUGGUACCAAAGAAGCAAACUUAUUUUAACC
Lutra lutra (Eurasian river otter) is the source of this 1757-nucleotide long non-coding RNA. RefSeq lists it as uncharacterized. The record is from RefSeq and is a predicted model, not a curated record. Lineage: Eukaryota; Metazoa; Chordata; Mammalia; Carnivora; Mustelidae. The transcript has 2 exons.